AAUAGAUACCCUGGUAGUCCACGCCGUAAACGAUGAGUGCUAAGUGUUAGAGGGUUUCCGCCCUUUAGUGCUGCAGCUAACGCAUUAAGCACUUCGCCUGGGGAGUACGGUCGCAAGACUGAAACUCAAAGGAAUUGACGGGGGCCCGCACAAGCGGUGGAGCAUAUGGUUUAAUUCGAAGCAACGCGAAGAACCUUACCAGGUCUUGACAUCCUCUGACAACUCUAGAGAUAGAGCGUUCCCCUUCGGGGGACAGAGUGACAGGUGGUGCAUGGUUGUCGUCAGCUCGUGUCGUGAGAUGUUGGGUUAAGUCCCGCAACGAGCGCAACCCUUGAUCUUAGUUGCCAGCAUUUAGUUGGGCACUCUAAGGUGACUGCCGGUGACAAACCGGAGGAAGGUGGGGAUGACGUCAAAUCAUCAUGCCCCUUAUGACCUGGGCUACACACGUGCUACAAUGGAUGGUACAAAGGGCUGCAAGACCGCGAGGUCAAGCCAAUCCCAUAAAACCAUUCUCAGUUCGGAUUGUAGG
Molecule: ribosomal RNA, 529 nt
Filed under: uncultured bacterium
Lineage: Bacteria
Description: bacterial SSU rRNA
Rfam family: Bacterial small subunit ribosomal RNA
Source: RNAcentral